GUAGGUGAACCUGCGGAAGGAUCAUUACCGUGGGGAUUCGUCCCCAUUGAGAUAGCACCCUUUGUUUAUGAGUACCCUUGUUUCCUCGGCGGGCUUGCCCGCCAGUAGGACAUCAAAACCCUUUGCAGUAGCAGUAACCUCAGUUAAAAAUAAAUAUUAAAACUUUCAACAACGGAUCUCUUGGUUCUG
Molecule: unclassified non-coding RNA, 189 nt
Filed under: rhizosphere metagenome
Description: partial ribosomal RNA internal transcribed spacer region
Source: RNAcentral